CAGCACCUCAAGUGGUCAGGAUGAUUAUUGGGCCUAAAGCAUCCGUAGCCGGCGCUGUAAGUUUUCGGUUAAAUCUGUACGCUCAACGUACAGGCUGCCGGGAAUACUGCAGCGCUAGGGAGUGGGAGAGGUAGACGGUACUCGGUAGGAAGGGGUAAAAUCCUUUGAUCUAUUGAUGACCACCUGUGGCGAAGGCGGUCUACCAGAACACGUCCGACGGUGAGGGGUGAAAGCUGGGGGAGCAAACCGGAUUAGAGACCCGCGUAGUCC
This 270-nucleotide ribosomal RNA is filed under the name uncultured archaeon. RNAcentral describes it as "partial 16S ribosomal RNA". It matches the Rfam family "Archaeal small subunit ribosomal RNA", at positions 477 to 747 of the family's 1478-position model. The record is from RNAcentral.